GUAUGCGCGGUGAUGAAGCAAUAGUGUGGACUAGAGUUUCUGAUCUUGCAUUUGAAGACAAACCCUUGGCUGUCUGAGCGCUCAA
RNAcentral lists this small nucleolar RNA (85 nucleotides) under Erythranthe guttata (spotted monkey flower). RNAcentral's name for it is "Mimulus guttatus (spotted monkey flower) Small nucleolar RNA Z157/R69/R10". It matches the Rfam family "Small nucleolar RNA Z157/R69/R10". Rfam says of the family: Z157, R69 and R10 are members of the C/D class of snoRNA which contain the C (UGAUGA) and D (CUGA) box motifs. Most of the members of the box C/D family function in directing site-specific 2'-O-methylation of substrate RNAs. Lineage: Eukaryota; Viridiplantae; Streptophyta; Magnoliopsida; Lamiales; Phrymaceae. The record is from Rfam by way of RNAcentral.